RNAcentral lists this ribosomal RNA (305 nucleotides) under uncultured bacterium. RNAcentral's name for it is "bacterial SSU rRNA". It matches the Rfam family "Bacterial small subunit ribosomal RNA", at positions 335 to 634 of the family's 1533-position model. The record is from RNAcentral.
GCCCUACGGGCGCAGCAGUGGGGAAUAUUGCGCAAUGGGCGAAAGCCUGACGCAGCGACGCCGCGUGAGGGAUGAAGGUCUUCGGAUCGUAAACCUCUGUCAGCAGGGAAGAACGGUCACUGUGCUAAUCAGCAGUGAAUUGACGGUACCUGCAAAGGAAGCACCGGCUAACUCCGUGCCAGCAGCCGCGGUAAUACGGAGGGGGCGAGCGUUAAUCGGAAUUACUGGGCGUAAAGCGCUCGUAGGCGGUAUGUCAAGUCAAGGGUGAAAUCCCCGCGCUCAACGUGGGAACUGCCAUUGGAACG